AUGAGGGCGGAUACGUUGAAUGCCACGUCACUCACAAAUGCUCUAAACAUGUACUGUGCUAGCUCAGGACAACUGGUUAGCGAUGCAAAAUCCAGUGUGUUCUUCAGUCCCAAUACUUCAGUGGAAGUGCGAGCGGAUAUCUGUUCACAACUUAAUAUUGUCUCAGAGGCGAUUUCGGAUAAGUACUUGGGGUUACCGUCAAAAGUUGGAAUUGACCGAAGUGAUAGUUUUCAAUACCUAGUUGAUAGAGUUUGUGCACUUAUUAAUGGGCGGAUCUCAAAAAUGUUAUCAAUCAGCGGGAAAGAAACUCUUUUGAAGGCGGUGGCACAGGCUAUCCGGGUUUAUGCCAUGUCGGUUUUUAACAUCCCGAAGAAUAUUUGUAAGGCUAUCUGUGAUGCUAUUGCUAGAUAUUGGUGGGGCGACACGCAAGAAAAAAGAAGAUCCACUGGAAGGCGUGGUGGAAGAUGUGCAUUCCUAAGAAAGAGGGAGGUAUGGGCUUUCGUGAUUUACAUUGUUUUAACAAAGCUAUGCUAG
RNAcentral lists this ribosomal RNA (534 nucleotides) under Triticum aestivum (bread wheat). Its description in RNAcentral is "partial small subunit ribosomal RNA". The record is from RNAcentral. Lineage: Eukaryota; Viridiplantae; Streptophyta; Magnoliopsida; Poales; Poaceae.